RNAcentral lists this ribosomal RNA (410 nucleotides) under Streptomyces lavendulae. RNAcentral describes it as "bacterial SSU rRNA". It matches the Rfam family "Bacterial small subunit ribosomal RNA", at positions 48 to 475 of the family's 1533-position model. Lineage: Bacteria; Bacillati; Actinomycetota; Actinomycetes; Kitasatosporales; Streptomycetaceae. The record is from RNAcentral.
UUAACACAUGCAAGUCGAACGAUGAAGCCCUUCGGGGUGGAUUAGUGGCGAACGGGUGAGUAACACGUGGGCAAUCUGCCCUUCACUCUGGGACAAGCCCUGGAAACGGGGUCUAAUACCGGAUAACACUCCUGCCUGCAUGGGCGGGGGUUAAAAGCUCCGGCGGUGAAGGAUGAGCCCGCGGCCUAUCAGCUUGUUGGUGGGGUAAUGGCCCACCAAGGCGACGACGGGUAGCCGGCCUGAGAGGGCGACCGGCCACACUGGGACUGAGACACGGCCCAGACUCCUACGGGAGGCAGCAGUGGGGAAUAUUGCACAAUGGGCGAAAGCCUGAUGCAGCGACGCCGCGUGAGGGAUGACGGCCUUCGGGUUGUAAACCUCUUUCAGCAGGGAAGAAGCGAAAGUGACGG